This 464-nucleotide ribosomal RNA is filed under the name uncultured bacterium. RNAcentral's name for it is "bacterial SSU rRNA". It matches the Rfam family "Bacterial small subunit ribosomal RNA", at positions 28 to 507 of the family's 1533-position model. The record is from RNAcentral.
GAUGAACGCUGGCGGCGUGCAUAACACAUUCAAGUCGAACGGUGAAGAGGACUUCGGUCCUCUGAUCAGUGGCGGACGGGUGAGUAACGCGUGAGCAACCUGCCCUUGUGUGGGGGAUAACGUCUGGAAACAGACGCUAAUACCGCAUAACGUAUUUGAACUGCAUGGUUUGAAUACCAAAGAUUUAUUGCGCAAGGAUGGGCUCGCGUUGGAUUAGAUAGUUGGUGGGGUAACGGCCUACCAAGUCGACGAUCAGUAGCCGGACUGAGAGGUUGAACGGCCACAUUGGGACUGAGAUACGGCCCAGACUCCUACGGGAGGCAGCAGUGGGGAAUAUUGGGCAAUGGGGGAAACCCUGACCCAGCAACGCCGCGUGAAGGAAGAAGGCUUUCGGGUUGUAAACUUCUUUUACCAGGGACGAAGACGUGACGGUACCUGGAGAAAAAGCCACGGCUAACUACGUG